This is a non-coding RNA of Marmota flaviventris (yellow-bellied marmot), 2027 nucleotides long. Lineage: Eukaryota; Metazoa; Chordata; Mammalia; Rodentia; Sciuridae. The record is from RefSeq and is a predicted model, not a curated record.
GAACCGUGCAGUGAUCUGGUGGAACAGUGCUCCAGCCCAGCUCCUGCUGCCCGGGAGGUGGACACACCGUACAACCACCUUUCUGAGAAAGGAGCCAGUCUCUGAAUGGCCGAGAUGAAGUUGCCUUGACGGGUUUUCCUGCUUCUGCUCAGAGGCAGAAGAGAACUGCCCAGGAGCCAGAAGACAGGUGCCCCUGGACUCCAACAGAUGCCCGAGAAGCUGACCUGGACGGCACCAAGAGAGCAGAGAGCAAGCAGGAAUGCUCCCAACCUGCCCAUCCACCCUGCUUUCUCAGACUCUGUCCACAGCACCGCGGGGAGUGGUGGCCGCCCUGUGCCCCGACUGCAAUGCUGAUCCUCAGCACCCAGGGCUGGUUCCGGUCACCGUGAGAAGCAGGAGGGUAUCCUGAGGCUUGGCCCUUACUUUGGUCAUCCAUUGAUUCCCUGGCCUCAACACGCACUCAUUCAGCGAGGCUUAUUCUUCCAGCAGACAUUCUCGACCACCUUCCCUGGUCAAGCACCGGCGGGUCCUGGAUCCCCAUGGGAAGCAAGCGUUUGUGGUGUGGAGCGGGUGGAUGAGGGAACCCAGACAUCGUUCCUGCCUCUGAGGCCGGGCUGGUCCUUCCUGGGGGCCAUGGUCAGCAGAGGCACUGCCGCAGUUCUGGAGGGCUCGGGGGAAGGGCUGAUGGUACUUCAAUUGCUGGUCUUUAAUGGCAGAGCCAGGGACGUCGUGACACUGACACUCCGGCUUUCGUAGCUGGAGUUGCAGAGCUGAAGAGAGCCAAGGGCGUGCUUUUAAGGGGUGUCCAAGCCAUCAGCAAACAGCCGGCUACUGCGAGGCCAGUGACAUUCCUGGUGGCUUCUCUUGUAUUGCAAACCCAGCUCCAUGCCCUUGGGGGAAACUCUUGCUCUAAUGCCUGUCCAGAGAAGUCCUGUCGUCUUCAGAGGUGCAUUCCCCUGGGGACGUCAGACAAAUGCGUGUUCAUUGGGAAGUCCAUCCAGUGUGCUAGAGAAGAAGCCAAGAGCAGCAGGCCCCUGUCCCUGUGGACACUCCCGUCCUCCACCCUGCCAGCACAGCGGCUCAGAGGACCCCGCGGGGUCUCUGGAGAGUGCCUGGAGGCUGGGCCCCUCACCUGGAGGGCACCUCUCUGCAGGGCCCCUUCGGCCCCAGCUGGUGCUCUUUCCCUCAGAGGAAGUGUCCUCCAAGGAAUUCAUUAACAGAAAUUCAUCCUCGUCCUCAUGUGGCCCAGGUGCUGCUCUAUGUGACGUACACGCAUUGGGCCAUUUUAUCUUGGCACAGCCCUAUGAGGAGCAUACACUGUCACCUUCAAUACACAGGACAAGAAACUGGACACCAAGGGCUGAGUUCACUUGCACCAAGUUCUGUGAGCCCCGAGAGGCUGUGCAGGACUCCAGCCCUGUGGUCUGACCCCCGUUCUGCCUUUCUCUGCUGCGUGCUGAUCUCGCCUGGCCGCGCACCUGGACUCUAGGGCUCAGAAGGGCUCCCUGCACUGGGUCCCUUUUAGUAACUCAGGCCACUCUUUGAAACCCCUUCCUGCUGUCUGCUGGGACCUGGCAGACUCUGGCGCACAGAUGGCUGAUGGAGUGGGAACCAUGCUCCCCAGAGGACGCCGAGAUGUUGGGGCUUCGUUUUUGUGGGUGAUCCAAGGGCCCUCACUCCCAAGAGCGGUCUGCGGCGUAUUCCAGACAAACCCUGUUCCUCCUCCAGGGAGGGAUGUCAGAUCUGUCCACAGCACCUGCAAAGGUCUGUGUCCCAAAGAGUAUCAAGCAGUGGCCCUGGGGGCGUUUCCUCCUCCACCUGGCUUGGUGCAGGACUGCCGUGCUGGUCAGGACUGUUGGCAGUAGACGGCUAAACUUCCUUUGCUUACUGAGCGAUAACAAAAUGCCAACUUGGAGUACACAUAGAGAAAGUCAAAAUGUUUAAUGAUCUUUAUUGAAAUAUUACUGAUGUACAAUUGUUAUAAUGAAAACAUUACAGCGAGUAAAAGUUAGUUGAUAUUUAAGUGA